Hyla sarda is the source of this 415-nucleotide long non-coding RNA. RefSeq lists it as uncharacterized. Lineage: Eukaryota; Metazoa; Chordata; Amphibia; Anura; Hylidae. The transcript is spliced from 3 exons. The record is from RefSeq and is a predicted model, not a curated record.
GAUUCUGCUGUGCCGUGCACUCUGCAGAAUUUUCGCCUUUGAAAUUUCAGAUUCCAGGCUCCACUAAAUUUAGUAUGGUGGGCACUCCCGUCAAUGGGCUUGGUGCAUGUCCGCACCCUCACAGGGCUAAUUGUUUUCGGCAGCAUUCAUUCGCCAGAAAUGAAGGAAAAACAUUCAUCCCGAAAUUCCAUACACUGGAUUAUGAAUACAUUACAAGAAAACAGACGGCGGUUCAUCCACACCUACACGGCAGAAUGCAUAAACAUAGGUGUGGCAACAUGUCCCCAAGAGGCAGAAAAUCCUUUACAUACAGUACUGUGCGUGCAAAAAAGUCUAGCAAGUGUGGAAAAAUUUUUACAAAGUAAGAAUGUUUUCGAAAAUAGGAGUUUUAAAACUGGAUGAGGAACAGCCAAAC